GACGAACGCUGGCGGCGUGCUUAACACAUGCCCUUUGAACGGAGAAUUUACUUCGGUAAAUUCUUAGUGGCGAACGGGUGAGUAACGCGUAGGCAACCUGCCCUCUUUUUGGGGACAACAUUCCGAAAGGGAUGCUAAUACCGAAUGUGCUCCCGCCUCCGCAUGGAGGCGGGAGGAAAGAUGGCCUCUACUUGUAAGCUAUCGCCAGAAGAUGGGCCUGCGUCUGAUUAGCUAGUAGGUGGGGUAACGGCUCACCUAGGCGAUGAUCAGUAGCCGGUCUGAGAGGAUGAACGGCCACAUUGGGACUGAGACACGGCCCAAACUCCUACGGGAGGCAGCAGUGGGGAAUCUUCCGCAAUGGACGAAAGUCUGACGGAGCAACGCCGCGUGAGUGAUGAAGGUCUUCGGAUUGUAAAACUCUGUUGUCAGGGACGAAUGUACUGAUUUACAAUACACUUCGGUAUUGACGGUACCUGACGAGGAAGCCACGGCUAACUACGUGCCAGCAGCCGCGGUAAUACGUAGGUGGCGAGCGCUAUCCGGAAUUAUUGGGCGUAAAGGGUGCCUAGGCGGCUGAUUAAGUUCGUGGUUAAAGCGUGGGGCUCAACCCCAUAAAGCCCACGGAUUACUGGUUCAGUUGAGUUUUGGAGGAGGGCAGUGGAAUCCAUGGGGUAGCGGUAAAAAGCGUAGAUAUAUGGAGGAACACCGGUGGGCGAAGGGGGCCUGCCUGGACAAAGACUGACGCUGAGGCACGAAAGCGUGGGGAGCAAAUAGGAUUAGAUACCUUAGUAGUCCACGCUGUAAACGAUGAAUGCUUGGUAUCGGGGCAACCCGGUGCCGAAACUAACGCGCUAAGCAUUCCGCCUGUGGAGUAUGCACGCAAGUGUGAAACAUAAAGGAAUUGACGGGGGCCCGCACAAGCGGUGGAGUAUGUGGUUUAAUUCGACGCAACGCGAAGAACCUUACCAGGCCUUGACAUCCCUUGCAAAGCUGUAGAGAUACAGUAGAGGUUAUCAAGGUGACAGGUGGUGCAUGGUUGUCGUCAGCUCGUGUCGUGAGAUGUUGGGUUAAGUCCCGCAACGAGCGCAACCCUUGUCUUCAGUUACCAAUAUCAAGUUAGGGACUCUGGAGAGACUGCCGGUGAUAAACCGGAGGAAGGUGGGGAUGACGUCAAAUCAUCAUGCCCCUUAUGGCCUGGGCUACACACGUACUACAAUGGCUGUUACAACGUGAAGCAACACUGUGAAGUGAAGCGGAACACUGAAAGACAGUCUCAGUUCGGAUUGAAGUCUGCAACCCGACUCCAUGAAGCUGGAAUAGCUAGUAAUCGCGGAUCAGCAUGCCGCGGUGAAUA
This 1354-nucleotide ribosomal RNA is filed under the name uncultured bacterium. RNAcentral's name for it is "partial 16S ribosomal RNA". It matches the Rfam family "Bacterial small subunit ribosomal RNA", at positions 28 to 1368 of the family's 1533-position model. The record is from RNAcentral.